Long non-coding RNA from Esox lucius (northern pike), 2448 nucleotides. NCBI's taxonomy places the organism in Eukaryota, Metazoa, Chordata, Actinopteri, Esociformes, Esocidae. The record is from Ensembl.
UCAGAAUCUGAAUGAACUUUAAUGUAUUUAUUAAAAGUACAUUUAGUCAAAGCCAUACCAAGAAAUCACUGUUUCACUUGAUGUGAAGUUGCUACUAGUGGUCGAAAAUGUAUGAGCACAGAAUACAUCAAAUCAACUGAAGUUGAUAUACAUAUAUUUUCAAUACACUUAGUGUUGAACAAAUGAGAUGAAGAGAUACAAGUGUUCCUAUACAAGAACAUAUCCUAUACUUUCAUUACAUAAUUUUAAGAUGAUGUACAUUACAUUUACAAAUUAAAUAUCCAGUGCAUUCCAAAAGUAUUUAGAGCGCUUUACCUUUUCCACAUUUUGUUCAGUUACAGGCUUAUUCUGAAAAGUGGAUAAUCUAACUGUUGUAAUAUAUGAGGAAAACUGUUAAAUGUGUCUUUUUAGUGGGCCUAAAAGACGUUGAUAGUGGUGUUCUUAUUGAAUGGAGGUCCUUUGCACUUGACUCAUCGAGGGAACCCUAUGGGAGGGGGCUUGCUUAUCGGCUGUGCGCACGUUUUAAACUCUGCCUGAUUUCCAUAUACCAGCGUACCGAGGCAAUUAAAUCCAAUCACAAUUCACAUAACAGAUAACAAUAGUGAACCAAACUGUCCGUGAGGCUCAAACAAAGAGGUUGGUUCAAAAAGCAAAGAAUGAUAAAAUAAUUUCUUACGUAUAAAUAAACAUUCUUUGAAGCCUUAUAUUACGUGCUGUAUGUCUUGGUGAGAACUGAGAGUAAAAUUAUCAUAAUUAUUGUUUAAAUCCAAGUCCCUGUAUAUAUGAAAAGACAAGUUAAAUAAUGCUACAUUUUGACAUUGCUUUCUUUAAUUAAUGUACCAAGUAACGAAUUCAGUAGAAGUAGAACAAAAAGAGAGAACAAAAUUUGCUCACUGGCCUUUUUUUAAAAUCAGAAAUGAAUGUUCUUAUGAUUCCAAUUUACCGCAAUCACCUGGAAGCAGUUAGGGUUAUCUGUCUUGUAAAGGGACAGAACAACAGGGAUUUCACCGUGUUGGUUCUGGGAUUCAAAACAACAACUUUAUGUAUACUGGCCCAAGCUCUUGAACGCUAGGUUAUUCUUGGAUUCUUCCCUGUUGCCACCUUUUUAAUACAUGACUAUGGCUUCACAUCCGACAUAGAGCUAUGUAGCUUGGAUGGACUAUGAUUUGCAGUUGCAUUAAUGCCAUCUGAAAUUACAAUUAAGGUUGUUACUUAAAAAAAAUCAGCAGUACUCUUUUGACAUCAGCAGAGGGCAACAUUUGCCAACCUGAGAAAGACAGUGAGGUCAGUGCAAUGUCUUUGUUGGCUAACAGGCCUAAAGGAAACGUAAGGACCAACUCUCAGGCAUCGGUGUUUCAAGGGAAAAGGAAGGUGCUGAGAGUUUUGCUGAAAGACUGUAUCCUGAGAAACAUCUGUUUCCGGGUUCGGCCGACACUGCUAAGUGGUAUUCUCUGUGUUUCUUUGUCCAGUUAAGGAAAUGGUUGUAAAAAUAAGCAGUUUGUAGAUCUUGAACAUACACAGACACAUACUAAAUAUGCACUAAAACAUUUUGUCUGUUUUAGGGAAGCGUUGUGCUAGGUAAUACUCCAGAAUGGUUAUGGUUAGGUAACACUCCUGUAUGGUUAAGGGGCGUUAAUUAUGGACAAGAAAAAUCCACUGUGUCAUGAUUCAAACUCACAGGUAUUGGGGUCUGUGUCGCUAGCGUUUAUGACCACCAUCACUGACCACAACUCCUCAGCAAAACAUUAUUUACAGUGUGAUAUUGGAUCACCCAAUUUUCACACAAAUCAGAUCUCCCUGAAAUGCCGUUACUCCUUGUUAUGUGCAAAUUGUGUGUGAGUCUGUUGAAUUAUUAUGCCGUCCAUCAAAGAUGCUGAUCACCCAAGGAAUCACAUGCACACAUACACACAUUCACAUAAAUUCCCCUAAUGUCCACUGAUUUGUUCUUGAGCCAGGUUAUCAGGCCAUUUCAUCUGGGAAUUGUGUUGUGUUCUGAGAGGAACCACACACAGCGGCCAGCGUUGCUUAAAUGAUACUGCUGUUUGCUAUACAGAGGAAACAAUGGAAUGCAAGAAGAGAAAAAAAAAAUAGAGUGUCCACACAGGUCCGAAUGCCGCCACCCCACAUCCGGCUAUUGAUUUGGAACGAAAAGAAGAUUCCUCCACACAUCCUAUAUCUCUACUGGUCAGGUAGACUCCGGUGCUGGGUAUCCACAGGGAACAGUUGUAGGCCCCUCCCUCAUUUCCUAUCUUCAGGGAACUAGUCACAGUCCGCGCACCUCCAACCUCCUCUUGCUUAGUGUUGUUUUGGGCGUCCCCAGUCAGGUUGUUGGUUCCCUGGAACCAGUGUACAUCUCCGUCAGGGUAGACCCCAGUGAAGACGCAGGUGGGACCCAGGUCGUUGAAGCUGGCAAAGGCCUCCCUGUAGCACUCUGUAACCAAUCAGUUA